UAGGGAAUCUUCGGCAAUGGACGAAAGUCUGACCGAGCAACGCCGCGUGAGUGAAGAAGGUUUUCGGAUCGUAAAACUCUGUUGUUAGAGAAGAACAAGGACGUUAGUAACUGAACGUCCCCUGACGGUAUCUAACCAGAAAGCCACGGCUAACUACGUGCCAGCAGCCGCGGUAAUACGUAGGUGGCAAGCGUUGUCCGGAUUUAUUGGGCGUAAAGCGAGCGCAGGCGGUUUCUUAAGUCUGAUGUGAAAGCCCCCGGCUCAACCGGGUAGGGUCAUUGGAAACUGGGAGACUUGAGUGCAGAAGAGGAGAGUGGAAUUCCAUGUGUAGCGGUGAAAUGCGUAGAUAUAUGGAGGAACACCAGUGGCGAAGGCGGCUCUCUGGUCUGUAACUGUCGCUGAGGCUCGAAAGCGUGGGGAGCAAACAGG
This 429-nucleotide ribosomal RNA is filed under the name Acidobacteriota bacterium. RNAcentral describes it as "Acidobacteria bacterium partial 16S ribosomal RNA". It matches the Rfam family "Bacterial small subunit ribosomal RNA", at positions 355 to 776 of the family's 1533-position model. The record is from RNAcentral. Lineage: Bacteria; Pseudomonadati; Acidobacteriota.